AUCUAGAUGGCAAAAUUUUAGAGACAUUAGAUCUCGAAUCGAUGUUAGUUGGGCAAUCAUAAAUGUAGUUGAACUUGACAUCUAUCAGUAGAAGUCCUCUCCACCUCUAUUUUUUCUUCGUUAGUAAAAAUUGAUGCUUUUGAUUAGUGAUUGUAUUUGAUGCCCAAUCAUUUAUGUAGUGGAGCAUGACACAAACCUAACUGUGCAUAACUACAACAUAAGAGUAGAUCAUGCAUGGUUUUCUAGUUAUUAUAAUGACAAGCAUAUCGUUGUGUGGCUGUAUGUAAUUCAUAUCGUUGUAGUAACAUAAGUCAUUAUUUUUGCGGGACACUUGUUGUUUUCUUUUUCAUCCACUACAGUGAUAUAAUGUGAGUUGUUAUUUUGGUGGGACACUAAGUAUAUCUUUUGAUUUAUUCCAAUAAUAUGUCACUUUAAUUUUGGUGGAAAUUAUUAUUUAUUUAAUCCACAUCUUUCUUUCAUGAUAAUUUUUCACUUUACAUCUCAUCUAAUGGAUCCUUUGUGCAAUAUAAUUGAUGGACUACAUUUGCUAAUGACAUUUUAUAGAUAGAUUCUGUGGACCUUCACAUACUAAAUCCAAAGUACCACUGGCCAUUUGAGUAUCUUUUGUUCUAGGAUAUUUUGAAGUGAGAAAGCAGCUGCAUCUGGAGUAUAAGGUUGAUUGACCUGGCUACCUUACUAAUGUGGAUCGUCACUGCAGUAUUUUCGAACUCCUAGUGAUAUGUGAAAUACCUUAUAGCAUAUUGUUGUUGGAAUUGAGUAAAUUGAAUCAUAUUACAAAGAUGAUAGACAAGAUGAACAUUGACAAACUCUCUGAUUUUCGCAAUGCAGCAAUCAGCUGAAUGCAAGCUGACAUGACAUCUCUGUUUGGAACUAUAACUUACCAGUCAAAUCAAUCUUCGAGUAUCUUCUUGGGCAAGCCUUUUUCCGCAAAGUUUCAAGGAGGAAGUACAUAGAGCCAACUCAAAGAUUAUAGGUUAUGUUUCUUCCUUCAGUGCACACAAAUAGUCACAGAAGCCGGAUUCUGUGUUUCCCUCCUAAGGUAUGCAUUGAGCUUUCAUUCAGCCUCUGAUGCCAUUUUCCGAAGCUCAAAUAGUGUAGAAUGAAAAGCAAGUGAGCUAGAGGUCUGUACUGUCAAUUUUUUAGUUUCUUACUAACUCUGGUUGCAAAUUAUCUUCUCAAAGUUGAGGUAAUGUGCAAAAGAGACUGAUAGAUGUUAGUGACAACGUUGGAAACACAUACAAUAUUAGAGGUAUAAAAAAUUAACCAAACUACUUAAGUUCAAUUUGUGUUCAUCUUGUUCGAGAUAGGUUUGAACAUGUUCUAAAACUCGUUAAUUUUCUUGUUUGGGUAAGCUAGCUUCAUUUGGUACUGUUAAUUCUGUUGAAUUGCAUGCAUUUAAAUUCAUGAAUGUAAUGAAACAUUAGUGAAUUUUUAUCAGAAAUGUUGGAAAAGGCAAUGGCAACUCCUCCAACUGUUUCACCAAUAUGGUGUUCCCCAUUACUUGAGGUAUGUCUAUGUAUGAACAAACA
Non-coding RNA from Camellia sinensis, 1550 nucleotides. NCBI's taxonomy places the organism in Eukaryota, Viridiplantae, Streptophyta, Magnoliopsida, Ericales, Theaceae. The record is from RefSeq and is a predicted model, not a curated record.